This 464-nucleotide ribosomal RNA is filed under the name uncultured bacterium. RNAcentral describes it as "partial 16S ribosomal RNA". It matches the Rfam family "Bacterial small subunit ribosomal RNA", at positions 339 to 795 of the family's 1533-position model. The record is from RNAcentral.
CUACGGGGCGCUCCAGUGGGGAAUAUUGCACAAUGGGCGCAAGCCUGAUGCAACCAUGCCGCGUGUAUGAAGAAGGCCUUCGGGUUGUAAAGUACUUUCAGCGGGGAGGAAGGGAGUAAAGUUAAUACCUUUGCUCAUUGACGUUACCCGCAGAAGAAGCACCGGCUAACUCCGUGCCAGCAGCCGCGGUAAUACGGAGGGUGCAAGCGUUAAUCGGAAUUACUGGGCGUAAAGCGCACGCAGGCGGUUUGUUAAGUCAGAUGUGAAAUCCCCGGGCUCAACCUGGGAACUGCAUCUGAUACUGGCAAGCUUGAGUCUCGUAGAGGGGGGUAGAAUUCCAGGUGUAGCGGUGAAAUGCGUAGAGAUCUGGAGGAAUACCGGUGGCGAAGGCGGCCCCCUGGACGAAGACUGACGCUCAGGUGCGAAAGCGUGGGGAGUAAACAGGAUUAGAUACCCCCGUAGUC